This 2423-nucleotide ribosomal RNA is filed under the name Bacillus cereus HuA3-9. RNAcentral describes it as "bacterial LSU rRNA". It matches the Rfam family "Bacterial large subunit ribosomal RNA", at positions 493 to 2925 of the family's 2925-position model. The record is from RNAcentral. Lineage: Bacteria; Bacillati; Bacillota; Bacilli; Caryophanales; Bacillaceae.
AACCAGUACCGUGAGGGAAAGGUGAAAAGCACCCCGGAAGGGGAGUGAAAGAGAUCCUGAAACCGUGUGCCUACAAAUAGUCAGAGCCCGUUAAUGGGUGAUGGCGUGCCUUUUGUAGAAUGAACCGGCGAGUUACGAUCCCGUGCAAGGUUAAGCUGAAGAGGCGGAGCCGCAGCGAAAGCGAGUCUGAAUAGGGCGUUUAGUACGUGGUCGUAGACCCGAAACCAGGUGAUCUACCCAUGUCCAGGGUGAAGUUCAGGUAACACUGAAUGGAGGCCCGAACCCACGCACGUUGAAAAGUGCGGGGAUGAGGUGUGGGUAGCGGAGAAAUUCCAAUCGAACCUGGAGAUAGCUGGUUCUCCCCGAAAUAGCUUUAGGGCUAGCCUUAAGUGUAAGAGUCUUGGAGGUAGAGCACUGAUUGAACUAGGGGUCCUCAUCGGAUUACCGAAUUCAGUCAAACUCCGAAUGCCAAUGACUUAUCCUUAGGAGUCAGACUGCGAGUGAUAAGAUCCGUAGUCAAGAGGGAAACAGCCCAGAUCGCCAGCUAAGGUCCCAAAGUGUGUAUUAAGUGGAAAAGGAUGUGGAGUUGCUUAGACAACUAGGAUGUUGGCUCAGAAGCAGCCACCAUUUAAAGAGUGCGUAAUAGCUCACUAGUCGAGUGACUCUGCGCCGAAAAUGUACCGGGGCUAAAUACACCACCGAAGCUGCGAAUUGAUACCAAUGGUAUCAGUGGUAGGGGAGCGUUCUAAGUGCAGUGAAGUCAGACCGGAAGGACUGGUGGAGCGCUUAGAAGUGAGAAUGCCGGUAUGAGUAGCGAAAGACGGGUGAGAAUCCCGUCCACCGAAUGCCUAAGGUUUCCUGAGGAAGGCUCGUCCGCUCAGGGUUAGUCAGGACCUAAGCCGAGGCCGACAGGCGUAGGCGAUGGACAACAGGUUGAUAUUCCUGUACCACCUCUUUAUCGUUUGAGCAAUGGAGGGACGCAGAAGGAUAGAAGAAGCGUGCGAUUGGUUGUGCACGUCCAAGCAAUUAGGCUGAUAAGUAGGCAAAUCCGCUUAUCGUGAAGGCUGAGCUGUGAUGGGGAAGCUCCUUAUGGAGCGAAGUCUUUGAUUCCCCGCUGCCAAGAAAAGCUUCUAGCGAGAUAAAAGGUGCCUGUACCGCAAACCGACACAGGUAGGCGAGGAGAGAAUCCUAAGGUGUGCGAGAGAACUCUGGUUAAGGAACUCGGCAAAAUGACCCCGUAACUUCGGGAGAAGGGGUGCUUUCUUAACGGAAAGCCGCAGUGAAUAGGCCCAAGCGACUGUUUAGCAAAAACACAGGUCUCUGCGAAGCCGUAAGGCGAAGUAUAGGGGCUGACACCUGCCCGGUGCUGGAAGGUUAAGGAGAGGGGUUAGCGUAAGCGAAGCUCUGAACUGAAGCCCCAGUAAACGGCGGCCGUAACUAUAACGGUCCUAAGGUAGCGAAAUUCCUUGUCGGGUAAGUUCCGACCCGCACGAAAGGUGUAACGAUUUGGGCACUGUCUCAACCAGAGACUCGGUGAAAUUAUAGUACCUGUGAAGAUGCAGGUUACCCGCGACAGGACGGAAAGACCCCGUGGAGCUUUACUGUAGCCUGAUAUUGAAUUUUGGUACAGUUUGUACAGGAUAGGCGGGAGCCAUUGAAACCGGAGCGCUAGCUUCGGUGGAGGCGCUGGUGGGAUACCGCCCUGACUGUAUUGAAAUUCUAACCUACGGGUCUCAUCGACCCGGGAGACAGUGUCAGGUGGGCAGUUUGACUGGGGCGGUCGCCUCCUAAAGUGUAACGGAGGCGCCCAAAGGUUCCCUCAGAAUGGUUGGAAAUCAUUCGUAGAGUGCAAAGGCAUAAGGGAGCUUGACUGCGAGACCUACAAGUCGAGCAGGGACGAAAGUCGGGCUUAGUGAUCCGGUGGUUCCGCAUGGAAGGGCCAUCGCUCAACGGAUAAAAGCUACCCCGGGGAUAACAGGCUUAUCUCCCCCAAGAGUCCACAUCGACGGGGAGGUUUGGCACCUCGAUGUCGGCUCAUCGCAUCCUGGGGCUGUAGUCGGUCCCAAGGGUUGGGCUGUUCGCCCAUUAAAGCGGUACGCGAGCUGGGUUCAGAACGUCGUGAGACAGUUCGGUCCCUAUCCGUCGUGGGCGCAGGAAAUUUGAGAGGAGCUGUCCUUAGUACGAGAGGACCGGGAUGGACGCACCGCUGGUGUACCAGUUGUUCUGCCAAGGGCAUAGCUGGGUAGCUAUGUGCGGAAGGGAUAAGUGCUGAAAGCAUCUAAGCAUGAAGCCCCCCUCAAGAUGAGAUUUCCCAUAGCGUAAGCUAGUAAGAUCCCUGAAAGAUGAUCAGGUUGAUAGGUUCGAGGUGGAAGCAUGGUGACAUGUGGAGCUGACGAAUACUAAUAGAUCGAGGACUUAACCAU